UAGCAUUUUCCUAUAUCUUGUUUUUCCUUUACCAUUGUUUAAAAUCCUCACCAUAAGAAGUGCAAUAUUAAAACAAAAGCCGUGAGUCUUUUUAGCCCAGUGUGUAAAGACACACUCAGUGGCACAACU
Myotis lucifugus (little brown bat) is the source of this 129-nucleotide non-coding RNA. The record is from Rfam. Lineage: Eukaryota; Metazoa; Chordata; Mammalia; Chiroptera; Vespertilionidae.